GCAUUUGUGGUUCAGUGGUAGAAUUCUCACCUCCCACAUGGGAGACCCAGGUUCAAUUCCUACCCAGUGCA
Molecule: transfer RNA, 71 nt
Filed under: Oryctolagus cuniculus (rabbit)
Lineage: Eukaryota; Metazoa; Chordata; Mammalia; Lagomorpha; Leporidae
Rfam family: tRNA
About the family: Transfer RNA (tRNA) molecules are approximately 80 nucleotides in length.
Source: Rfam by way of RNAcentral